Molecule: ribosomal RNA, 255 nt
Filed under: uncultured bacterium
Lineage: Bacteria
Description: partial 16S ribosomal RNA
Rfam family: Bacterial small subunit ribosomal RNA
Source: RNAcentral
CAGCUACCUGGCGACAGGAUGCUAAUCCCAAAAACCUACUCUCAGUUCGGAUCGAAGUCUGCAACCCGACUUCGUGAAGCUGGAUUCGCUAGUAAUCGCGCAUCAGCCAUGGCGCGGUGAAUACGUUCCCGGGUCUUGUACACACCGCCCGUCACACCAUGGGAGUCGGAAAUGCCCGAAGUCGGUGACCCAACCGAAAGGAGGGAGCCGCCGAAGGCAGGUCUGAUAACUGGGGUGAAGUCGUAACAAGGUAUC